This 478-nucleotide ribosomal RNA is filed under the name uncultured bacterium. RNAcentral describes it as "partial 16S ribosomal RNA". It matches the Rfam family "Bacterial small subunit ribosomal RNA", at positions 28 to 507 of the family's 1533-position model. The record is from RNAcentral.
GAUGAACGCUAGCGGCAGGCUUAACACAUGCAAGUCGAGGGGUAUUUAUCUUCGGAUAGAGAGUCCGGCGCACGGGUGCGUAACGCGUAUGCAAUCUACCUUUUACAGAGGGAUAGCCCAGAGAAAUUUGGAUUAAUACCUCAUAGUAUAUAGACUCGGCAUCGAGAUUAUAUUAAAGUCACAACGGUAAAAGAUGAGCAUGCGUCCCAUUAGCUAGUUGGUAAGGUAACGGCUUACCAAGGCUACGAUGGGUAGGGGUCCUGAGAGGGAGAUCCCCCACACUGGUACUGAGACACGGACCAGACUCCUACGGGAGGCAGCAGUGAGGAAUAUUGGACAAUGGGCGCAAGCCUGAUCCAGCCAUGCCGCGUGCAGGAUGACGGUCCUAUGGAUUGUAAACUGCUUUUAGACGAGAAGAAACACUGCUACGUGUAGCAGCUUGACGGUAUCGUAAGAAUAAGAAUCGGCUAACUCCGUG